AAUGAACGCUGGCGGCGCGCCUAAUACAUGCAAGUCGAGCGAGAAGACGUGGCAAUACGUUUGUAAAGCGGCGAACGGGUGAGGAAUACAUGGGUAACCUACCCUAGAGUGGGGAAUAACUAGCCGAAAGGUUAGCUAAUACCGCGUACGCUCCUUGGACUUCGGUUCAGGGAGGAAAGCGAUGCCGAGGGUAUCGCGCUCUUGGAUGGGCUCAUGUCCUAUCAGCUUGUUGGNGAGGUAACGGCUCACCAAGGCUUCGACGGGUAGCUGGUCUGAGAGGACGAUCAGCCACACUGGCACUGCGACACGGGCCAGACUCCUACGGGAGGCAGCAGUAAGGAAUAUUGCGCAAUGGGACGAAAGCCUGACGCAGCGACGCCGCGGUGGGGGA
This 391-nucleotide ribosomal RNA is filed under the name uncultured bacterium. RNAcentral describes it as "bacterial SSU rRNA". It matches the Rfam family "Bacterial small subunit ribosomal RNA", at positions 29 to 408 of the family's 1533-position model. The record is from RNAcentral.